GACGAACGCUGGCGGCGUGCUUAAUACAUGCAAGUCAACGACUUUUAGAGUAGCAAUAUUUUAAAGGAAGUGGCGCACGGGUGAGUAACACGUAGGUAAUCUGCCUUCAGGACUGACACAACUCGUCGAAAGACGGGCUAAUAUCAGAUAAUGCAGCGGCUCCGCAUGGAGACAGUUGUUAAAGUACAAGCGCCUGAAGAUGAGCCUGCGGUCCAUUAGCUAGUUGGUAGAGUAACAGCCUACCAAGGCAACGAUGGAUAGCUGGUCUGAGAGGAUGAUCAGCCACACUGGAACUGAGACACGGUCCAGACUCCUACGGGAGGCAGCAGUAAGGAAUAUUGCUCAAUGGCCGAAAGGCUGAAGCAGCAACGCCGCGUGAAGGAUGAAUGGCCUUGGCCUGUAAACUUCUAGUAAAAAGGGAAAAACAGUCAGGUAUAUCCUGAUUGAUUGUACCUUUGAAGUAAGCCCCGGCUAACGUACGU
Molecule: ribosomal RNA, 482 nt
Filed under: uncultured bacterium
Lineage: Bacteria
Description: bacterial SSU rRNA
Rfam family: Bacterial small subunit ribosomal RNA
Source: RNAcentral